AGCGAACGCUGGCGGCAGGCUUAACACAUGCAAGUCGAACGGGCUUCUUCGGAUGUCAGUGGCAGACGGGUGCGUAACACGUGGGAACGUGCCCUUCGGUUCGGAAUAACUCAGGGAAACUUGAGCUAAUACCGGAUACGCCCUUAUGGGGAAAGGUUUACUGCCGAAGGAUCGGCCCGCGUCUGAUUAGCUUGUUGGUGGGGUAACGGCGUACCAAGGCGACGAUCAGUAGCUGGUCUGAGAGGAUGAUCAGCCACACUGGGACUGAGACACGGCCCAGACUCCUACGGGAGGCAGCAGUGGGGAAUAUUGGACAAUGGGCGCAAGCCUGAUCCAGCCAUGCCGCGUGAGUGAUGAAGGCCUUAGGGUUGUAAAGCUCUUUUGUCCGGGACGAUAAUGACGGUACCGGAAGAAUAAGCCCCGGCUAACUUCGUG
RNAcentral lists this ribosomal RNA (435 nucleotides) under uncultured bacterium. Its description in RNAcentral is "partial 16S ribosomal RNA". It matches the Rfam family "Bacterial small subunit ribosomal RNA", at positions 29 to 507 of the family's 1533-position model. The record is from RNAcentral.